UUUUUUUGUUGCAGCAGCAUAGAAGGCUUUGGCAGUUCUGUGCCUUUUUUGCAGGGACAUCCCUGGAAGAACUCAUCUCCCCACACUUCUCCUCUUCCAGAUGAUGGAAACGGAAGCAGAGAUACACAUCCAGGCACUGAACCGAACUCCUGGAAUCCUGUUGUAGACAUGGAGGAGUGAUGAACAAAGUGGUCAAAACCAUGCUGGGGAAACCCACAGAAACAGCUAGCCUGACAAGUUGGAGUUCAGAGAACCCAAUUGACAGCUUGGGAACCAGCAUAUGACCAAUUCAGGCAGCCUGAAGUUGGGUGUCCAACGGGGCCUUGGGAAGUCUAUGGGACUUCUUGCAGUGGAAACAGUAUUUAUUCCUCGUGCUCAAAUAGUCUUUGGGAGACCAUUCAAAAUGGAAGGAUGCUCUUUCAAUAUAGAUAUAUGGGGGAGGACCUAGGUCUUGUCCCAAAUGAUGUGACAGACUUAGAUUAGCCCCCAAUGGAAGCCUCAUCUUCCCUGGGGUAUGGAUGGGGCUUUGGUGCUGGACAUGGUAGGAUGGGAGGGAGAGGACAGGCAGAUUGGUUUGUAAAACAAGAUUGUGUUUAAUAAAUAAAAAUGUACUUUAAAAUGGUUUCAAUGAUUAAAUAUCAAAAGGAAUAAAAGCCGGCUAUAAUAUAUAUU
Non-coding RNA from Cricetulus griseus (Chinese hamster), 672 nucleotides. The record is from RefSeq and is a predicted model, not a curated record. Lineage: Eukaryota; Metazoa; Chordata; Mammalia; Rodentia; Cricetidae.